RNAcentral lists this ribosomal RNA (402 nucleotides) under uncultured bacterium. RNAcentral describes it as "bacterial SSU rRNA". It matches the Rfam family "Bacterial small subunit ribosomal RNA", at positions 355 to 774 of the family's 1533-position model. The record is from RNAcentral.
UGGGGGAUAUUGCACAAUGGGGGAAACCCUGAUGCAGCAACGCCGCGUGAAGGAUGAAGGUUUUCGGAUUGUAAACUUCUGUUCUUAGUGACGAUAAUGACGGUAGCUAAGAAGAAAGCUCCGGCUAACUACGUGCCAGCAGCCGCGGUAAUACGUAGGGAGCGAGCGUUGUCCGGAUUUACUGGGUGUAAAGGGUGCGUAGGCGGCUAUGCAAGUCAGGCGUGAAAGCCAUGGGCUUAACCCAUGAACUGCGCUUGAAACUGUGUAGCUUGAGUGAAGUAGAGGCAGGCGGAAUUCCCGGUGUAGCGGUGAAAUGCGUAGAGAUCGGGAGGAACACCAGUGGCGAAGGCGGCCUGCUGGGCUUUAACUGACGCUGAGGCACGAAAGCAUGGGUAGCAAACA